Molecule: long non-coding RNA, 1431 nt
Organism: Chenopodium quinoa (quinoa)
Lineage: Eukaryota; Viridiplantae; Streptophyta; Magnoliopsida; Caryophyllales; Amaranthaceae
Exons: 3
Source: RefSeq, a predicted model, not a curated record
UUAAUUAUUUUUUCAGUUAAUAGAUUCUACUGUAUUUGUUCCUGCUAGAUUGAUUUCAAUUAUCGGUAUCAUGAUGCCUAGGGAUUGUAUCACUAGUAGAAAAAAUCAAAUAGGCACCCCCCCUUUAGCAUCGGUUCUUGAAAACCGGUGCCAAAAGAAAUGGGCGGAAUUGGAAAAUAGGGAGUUGGCACCGGUUCCAACCAAAACCGGUGCCAACUUAUUUAAUUAGCACUGGUUCAAACCGCUGCCAACCUUUAAGAAAAAAAAAAAAAAAAACCAAGGAAAGCAAUAGAGUUGGCACCGGUUCGCCUUAAACCGGUGCCAACUAUAGUAAUUAGCACCGAUUUGAAUUGGUGCCAUUAAAAAAAAAAAAAAAGCCCGGUUUAUAAUGCGCGUUUUCUUCUUCAUUUCCUUGAUCUUUCCGCUUCUCAUCUGAUCUUCCUCUCUCUCCUCCAUUGUAGCGUAUUCGAAUAUCUCCAUUGAUGGGGCUUCUGAGCUUUCUCUCAGCACUUUCCUAACACUCCUUCUCUGUCCUUCGAUCUCCUUCUCCAUAAGCGCCACUUUCCCUUUCCUUUCUCCUUUCUUUCGAUCUCCUUCUCCUUUUCCUUCUCUUUUUCUACAAUAUUGGAGGUUAGGGUUUCUGGGUGCGUCUAUUUUGAAUCAAUCAUGUGCGUGUGUCUUCGACAACAACAAAUUCGAAUCAAUUUCGAACCAAAAAUCAGAAAUUCGAGGUUAGGGUUUCUGGGUUAUUUAGCUUUGCGUUAUAUUGUAGCAGUUCUGAGCUUUCUCCUCCAUUGAAACAACUUCUGAGAUCUGAAGCUGUGCCGAUUUAUAUAUGGGCGAAGUUAAGCAAGAAAUAACUAAUGAGGUGAACACAGACGCUGGUUGCUUCGGGGAUGACAGAAUUGGUUUGGGAGGUGUUAUGCAUGACAGUAUGGGUGAAGUGAUGCCUGCUACCUACACAACUAUGAGAGGUAGUGGCAGUGUUGAUGUUGUGGAAGCACUUGCAGCAAGGCACUAUCUCAAGAUAGCCCUUGAUGCUUGACUGGAUAUGAUCAAAGUUUUGUCUGAUAAUAUAUCAAUCUUUGCAUGCAUCUGAAGAAGAAGUAUAUGGAGUGUAAUCAGUUUGGACUAAUUGUGAAGGAUAUCCUUGAAUUAGCUAAGUAUUGUUUCUCAUUUUCUGUUUCUCAUGUCGGUAUAUAUAUACUUGUAUAUAUAUUUUUGUUUAGACUUGGCACUUGUUUCACUAAGCUUUUUGGUUGUAUAGGUGCAAUAUAUGAGCAAACUUUGAGAUGAUGUUUUGAAAUGUAGUUUAAUGUUGGGUGUUAUAUGUUAAAGGGUGGCUAAAGGUUUGUCUCAGGACUCUUAAGUGCAGAAGUUAGCUUUUCAGCAUUGUAUUGAAGCUGUAAUGUUCAUCACUUUUAGUUUUUA